CACAAGAUUCUAGAAGGCCAAAGACAGCCUUACCUCCUGAAUCCAGGAGAAUCAAGGUCCACUAUGGGUUAACCCCUGGUCUACAAAGAGUCCAAGAACUAGGGUUACACAGUCUGGGAGGCCAGGGAUUACGUCAACACAGAGCCAGACUUGUUGGGGGCAAGGAGAUGUCAGAUAUCUAUCCUGCCAUCAGGAGGGUAUUUGGAAUUCUAUCAUCUCUAGCUGUACUGGUAUGACACAGAAUGCUGGAGAUACAAUGGUGAACAAGACAGAAGAGGUGCCUACCUUCAGGGAAUUCCAGUGAGGAAGACGGCAGUGAUGAAGAUCUUUUCAACUGUUUUAUAGGAAGGGAGGAAGAAUAGCAUACGGGACAUGGAUGAAUCUGGAGAACAUCAUCCUCAGCAAACUGACACAAGAACAGAAAAUGAAACACCGCAUAUUCUCACUCAUAGAGCUUCAUAAUUCUAGGACCUCAGCAAUGAAUUACAGGUGUGCCAGAGGUGUGGCUGAUCUGCCGGAUUUGGCAGGAUCCAGGUGCCAGAGCUCCUGGGAUGUCUGCCUCCUCUCUAGCCUGCUUCACAUCAUUUAGGCAGAAAAGGCAGGUGUACAUUUUUCUGCCUUCCCCUAUAACUCAGUCAUGAGAUGCAACUCAGUUUUGGACAAUGGACCCCAAAGGAAAUCCAUGGGAAGACAAAUGUAAAACAUAUUCCUUCCUGAAACAAAAUGAGGAGGAAUUGUUGAGAAAAAGUCCUCUUUCUCUUCCUGGUUUUGGAUGUUGAUGUAUAAGAAUGUGAAGUAUGUACCUGCUGAGGGAAUCACCGUGAAGCCAGCCCUGAAUCCCGACACUGUCAAGGCCUGAAGCAACCCAGGAAUUACUUAUGUUCUCAUUUCCUAUUAUUUGUGAAAUAUAAACUCUUUCUGUUUAAUCAACUUUCAAAUGGGGUUUUUGUAACUUGCAGCCAAAAGCAUUCCU
RNAcentral lists this long non-coding RNA (973 nucleotides) under Callithrix jacchus (white-tufted-ear marmoset). Its description in RNAcentral is "lncRNA (ENSCJAG00000070712.1)". Lineage: Eukaryota; Metazoa; Chordata; Mammalia; Primates; Cebidae. The record is from RNAcentral.